RNAcentral lists this ribosomal RNA (544 nucleotides) under Morganella morganii. RNAcentral's name for it is "partial 23S ribosomal RNA". It matches the Rfam family "Bacterial large subunit ribosomal RNA", at positions 1 to 584 of the family's 2925-position model. RNAcentral also lists the same sequence under 1 other name. Lineage: Bacteria; Pseudomonadati; Pseudomonadota; Gammaproteobacteria; Enterobacterales; Morganellaceae. The record is from RNAcentral.
GGUUAAGCGAAUAAGCGUACACGGUGGAUGCCUAGGCAGUCAGAGGCGAUGAAGGACGUGCUAAUCUGCGAUAAGCGCCGGUAAGGUGAUAUGAACCGUUAUAACCGGCGAUUUCCGAAUGGGGAAACCCAGUGUGAUUCGUCACACUAUCAUUACCUGAAUACAUAGGGUAAUGAAGCGAACCGGGAGAACUGAAACAUCUAAGUACCCCGAGGAAAAGAAAUCAAACGAGAUUCCCCCAGUAGCGGCGAGCGAACGGGGAGCAGCCCAGGACCUUAAUCAGCAUCAGUGUUAAGAGAACAGUCUGGAAAGGCUGGCCACAGCAGGUGAUAGCCCUGUAUCUGAAAGCACUGGUGUUGUGAGUCCGAUGAGUAAGGCGGGACACGUGUUAUCCUGUCUGAAUACGGGGGGACCAUCCUCCAAGGCUAAAUACUCCUGACUGACCGAUAGUGAACCAGUACCGUGAGGGAAAGGCGAAAAGAACCCCGGCGAGGGGAGUGAAAAAGAACCUGAAACCGUGUACGUACAAGCAGUGGGAGCACCU